RNAcentral lists this long non-coding RNA (39685 nucleotides) under Gossypium barbadense (sea-island cotton). RNAcentral describes it as "long non-coding RNA (GBAR_LNC017564)". The record is from RNAcentral. Lineage: Eukaryota; Viridiplantae; Streptophyta; Magnoliopsida; Malvales; Malvaceae.
AUCAAUUCUACUAAGUAAUCAUUUCCAAUGCUCCAGAACGUUCUGACGAUAGCUAUCCCCAAUAUCUUUUACUUUCUUUUGCUAUCUGCCUUCAUUAAUUUUUUGCUUUAUCUUUUCUUCAAUCUGGUUCCCUGUGCCAAAUUCCUACCGAGGCAAGAGCAUGACCUUCCAGUUCUUCUCCCCUCAGGUAAGUGUCUUCUUCUUUCUCGAGCGCUAUCUUUGCUAAUCUAUGGGCAUAUGAGUUCUCAGAUCUGUGGAUAUAUUGAAAAAUCAAUUCUUUAAAAUCAUCUUUUUUUCUUUGAAUAUCUCUGAUGAUGGCUCCGAUCACUGAUUUAUCUGCUGAAGUUGCUUGACAUUUUUUUAUAACUGUUCUUGAAUCCCCCAAAAGACUAACCGAUUGUAAUCUAAGUGAGCUACCUAAUUUUGCACCUUCUAGGCAUGCAUAUGCUUCUGCUGCAAAAGGAGAGGGGAUAUCUCUAUGGAUAACCGUCUUCAACGCCAUUAAGUUUCCCCUCAGAUCCCAUCCUACUAAGCCUGUUGCUGAUCUGAAGGUUCUACUGUCAAACGCUGCAUCAAAAUAAAUUCUCGUUCUCGGUAUGACUUCCUGUGAUCUUUGGCUUCUGUUCAUACUUUCAUUCUUUUUCAAGAUUUUGAAACCUUCAAAUUCUGCCCAGUGUCUUUGAAUAUUUUGUGCUAACUCCCUUCCUGUUGUAUUUUUUCUCUCGUGUACCAACUGGUUUCUAGAGUACCAUAACAGCCAUAAAGCGUAACAGAAGAGCAGACACUGACCACUAUUACUUCUCUUGAAAACCCAGGUAAGCCACUCCCAUAUCUUUUGACUCCUAUUAUUCGUAACCCAUGAGAAAUCUAACUGUUGCCAAACUUCAAUUGUCGUAGGACAUUCUCGGAAGACAUGGAUACUUCCUUCAACCGCCGAGCAGCAUCGAGGACAUCUAUCAUUGGAUAUAACCCUCCUGUAUCUAAGAUUAGCAAAAUUUGGUAUAAAGUCCCAUGAUAUCCUCCAGACUGUAAAUGUAAUUUUUGAGGGCAUCUGUAAGCUCCAGAGUUUUUUUGUAGAAUUCUUUUACCUCGGUCUGUAUUAAAUAAUCAUUAGGGUCUCGACUAGCUUCUUGUAAUAGUUUAUAGGCACUACGGACCGAAAAUUCUCCCGAAAGUUCCCCUUUCCACACUUGAAAAUCUUCAUGCUCAAACUCUGCUAGGGGAAUCUGCAAUAUUUUCCUAGCAACUGCCUCUUGAAAGGUAUUAUUAAUCACAUCCACUCUCCAUUUUCUACUUGAUAAAUCAAUUAGUUCCGAGACUAACUGUAAUUCACCUCUGUUUGUUCUAUUUUGUGCGUCAAGUUUAUCGACCCCCUGAAUCCAGUCAUCAUUCCAAAUGGAGAUACUAUCCCCUCUACCCACCCUCCAGCUCAUUCCUUUUUGGAGAAGACCUUUUGCAGCCCAUAUACUCUUCCAGGUAAAAGAAGGUAAAUUUCCCAACUCUGCAGAUAAAGAAGUUAGAAGACAAGACGGGAAAUAUUUUUUUUUAAGAACCCUGGCUAAUAACGAAUCUGGAUAAUUAAUGAGACGCCAUCCUUGUUUUGCUAGUAAGGCGAUAUUGAACUGACCAAAAUCUCGGAAACCUAAACCUCCACAUUCUUUAAAAGAACAAAGAUUUUCCCAUGUGCACCAAUGAAUUCCCUUAUUUCCCUUGCCUUUUUGCCACCGGAAUUUUGCAACAAUGCUCUCCAAUUCAUUACAUGAAGAUCUGGGAAGUAAGAAACAUGCCAUCGAAUAGGUAGGAAUAGCCUGAAGUAAAGCCUUUAUAAAAACUUCUUUACCUCCUUGAGAUAAGAACUUAAUACUCCAAUUAUCGGUACACUUCUUAAAACGAUCCUUCAAAUUUUGGAAAGCUUCCUUUUAACUUUGUCCCACCAUAUUAGGCAGCCCCAAGUACCUCUCUGGAUCAUUCGAUCUACGAACCCCCAACAAGUUGACAACCCGACUUCUGUCCUCAUCCAGCGUGUUUUUACUAAAAAAUAUUGUAGAUUUUUCAAAAUUUAUGUUUUGCCCUGAGCAGCUUUUAUAUUCUUCUAGUAUGUCCUUGAAGAUAUUAGCACCUUUCCUUGUUGCCUCCAUAAAUAAUAUGCAAUCAUCAGCGAAUAAAAGAUGGGAUAUCUGUGUUCCACUCCUACUAAUCCUGACUCCUUUCAUAAUACCUCUCUUCAUUGUCGAUCUUAAUAGACUUAAUAGACUUGAUAAGCCCUCACCGGAUAAAAGAAAAAGGAACGGACUUAGUGGGACACCUUGUUUCAAACCUUUGGUUGGUGAAAAUUUAACCCCUCUAAACCCAUUGAUGAUGACUGAAUAGGAAACGGUAGAGACACAAUUCAUAAUGGCCUUUACCCAGUUAAGGUAAAAUCCCAUCUUUACCAUAAUUUCUUCAAUAACCCUAUCCUAAGCUUUACUCAUAUUUAGUUUAACGGUCUUAAACCCCUUUUUUUUCCCAGAUUCUUUAGUUUUAACUUGUGCAGUACCUUAUAAGCAAGUAAAACAUUGUCUGAUAUCAAACGCCCUGGUACAAUAGCGCUUUGGGCUUCAUCAAUACAUUUCCCAAUAACAUUUCGGAGCCUAUUAGCAAUAACCUUUGCAAUAAUUUUAUAGAGAACAUUACAAAGACUGAUUUGCCUAAACUGCGACAGGUUAAAAGGACUCUCAACUUUGGGUAUAAGCACUAUAUCUGUAGAAUUAAUUUGACUAACCUCCAAAUCACCAUUCAACAAUCGGAGACAGUAGGCCAUAACAUCAUCUCCCACAAUCUGCCAACAUACAUUUUUGGUAAAAAGCUACUGGUGAGCCAUCUUCACCUGGUGCCUUUGUUGUGCCCAUACCAAAGCCAUCUUCACCGCUCGACCCCUGUUUAUAUAUGAUCAUAAUUCCCCUUGCUACCUGCUGAAAAUAUGUUUUGAAAAUAAGCCCGUGCCGUAACCUCAAUGUCCUGCACAAACACAAUCUCUCCCUGUCUUCAUUUUUUAACUUGUCAAUAAAAUUUCUCUUCUUUCGUUGUGAAGCUUGUCUGUGAAAGAAUUUUGUUUUUUUAUCUUUAAACUUCAAUCAAUUUAUUUUGGCCCUUUGUUCCCAAUAGCACUCGUCUUUUUCAAUCUCAAAAUUAAGACUUAUCCUUGUAUCGAUCAAUUCAGCUAAAGUCUUAUCGUCCCUUUCUGCUACAUCUAGUUCUUCAAGCUUUUAUGUCGGAACUCGUUUAGAUCACUUUCUGUUAAAUUGGAUUCUUUUUGCCCAUUUCUUUAGACCUUUUAAAUUCGCCAGUCUAUGAAGCAAUUCCCCAGAAGAAUUUUCCCACAGAAUCUUAACUUCAUUAAUAAAGGACUCCUCCAUUAACCACCAGGCUUCAAAUCUAAAAUUACUAAUCCAACCUAGAUCAUAUUUCAUGGUAUCCAAAAGAAUAGGACAGUGAUUUGAAAUCGUAUGUGUGAGAUGUUGAGGUUACACUUUAGGAAACAGCACAAUCCACUUUGUGUUAGCCACUCCUCUAUCAAGACGUUUUUGAAUAUUUGUCUCAGGUAAAUUACCCCCUCCCAAGUGAACCAACGGCCCAUAAAACCCACGUCAUAUUGGUGACAAUCUUCAAGCGUUUUUCUGAAGAACUCCAUCCUUCUUUCAUCUCUAGGCAGUCCUCUUUUCUUCUUGAAUCCAUACAUGAUUUCGUUAAAAUCGCCACACACCAUGGAAUUGCCUCUCCCACUGCUAAUUUCUUCAAAACUUCCCAUGAAUCACUUCUGUCAUGUACAUAUGGAGAACCAUAAAAGCCUGUAAAUCGCCAUUUAACUCCUUUUUCUUUAUCUUCAACUAACACAUCAAUGUGUCUUUUAGAAAAACUACGCAGUAUUAAAUCUGUGUCGGUUCUCCUUCCCAAAGACAAAAUGAUUUUAAAAAAAUAAAAAUAUAUAUAAAAUUUUAAAAGGUAAGGUGGCAUAUAAAACAGGUGUUCCCUCCUUACAUAGCGAAGGCAAUUUACCAAAAAAAGUCGUUUUUUUCAAAAUUUAUCGAAAUAGGCUGAUUUUUUGAUUAUUUAUCGGAUUGGGUCAUUUUUUGCGAAAUUACGUCCAUGUCAGCGCGAUGUCAGGGUAAGUGUCAGAACAACGCGUCUACGUCAGCGCGAUUUGCUUACGUGGAUGAAUAAUUUAUGUUUUUAAGCUUGGAAAACUUUGAAAGGUCAUAACUUUUCGCUCGGUUGUUCGAUUGAGACGAUUUUUUUUAUUUCGAAUAAAUUUAUACUCUUUUGCCCUUAAAUUUUGAUUUUUUCGGUUUGAAAUUGAAUUUUGAACAUUCAAAUCAUUAUUUUCCUUAUUUAUUUGAAGUAAACAUUGGAUCUUUUUUUAAGGAAUUGUCUUAUAUUAUCCUGUUAUACGUAUAAGUUAGGUCAUUUCACUUUUGAGAAGUACCCUUAAAAUUUUUUAUUUUAUUCAAUUUAGUCCCUAAAACUUAAGUAGUCAUAUUUUCAAAUUUAAGUUUCGUUUUUCAAUUCAAUUUCAACCUUCCAUAACAUUCAAAUAUUCUUAAAUACAAAAAUUUCAUGCUAAUUUUGUAAUAAUUACACUUUAGUCCCUAAACUUGUAACUAACAAAUUAUACUUUAGAAAUUAGUCUCUAUUCAUCUCUACGCAGUUUGUCAGCGCGUAGAUCUCGAAAAGUUAUUCGAAAUAAAAAAAAUCCUUUUAAUCGGACAAUCGAGUCAAAAGUUAUGGUUUUUCAAAGUUUUUCAAGUUAAAAAACAUAAAUUGUUCAUGCCACGUAAGCAAAUCGCGUCCUCUAUGGCGCGAUUUCUGUCCACGUCAGCAAGUUGCGCUGAGGUGGACGCGAUUUCCUGGCGCGUAUCCUGACAUCUUGCUGACGUGGACACGAUUUCGCGGAAAAUAGACCAUUCCGGUAAAUAAUUAGCCCAUUUCGGUAAAUUUAAAAAAACUUUUAUUGGUAAAAUACCCACGCAUCACCCUUCUAAUUUAAAUAUUAUUAAUUUAAUUUUAUUAAUAUAUUAUUGUUUUAUAGACAGUGUCGUAAUAAGUUGGCGUUACUGUUAUUUUCAAUCCAUUCUCAUAAAUAAUUUUUUCCACUCCAAUUUCAUAAAUAAAAUUUUUUGUAUUAUUGAAAUAAAAUUCCCUUUCAUUUGAGAAUAAAAAAAAUAGUAUACCUGCACUCGAAAAAAAAGUUUAUAAAAUCAAUUUAAACUAAAUAAUCCUUUGGACCAACAAGAGUUAGAUGCAGUGGUUUAAACAUUAGAGACAACAUCACUAGAACGAACUCCAAACAUAAACUAUAAAAUAGACAUAAAUAAUAUCAAAAACUAAUAACCCCUUAAAACUCCCAUAUCAGGUCAGGUGGCCAAAAGCUGUUCACUUAUAAAACUCCCCUGAAUUUGAGCCUCCAAGCUCAAAACAAGUAACAGGUCUUUAUUUAGGCAAUUGUUUUUUUAUACGUAGUGCGUGUGUCCUAGCGUGUGUGUGCAUAGUAUUUGUGAGUGCGAAUACUCUAAAAUUUUACAGUACAAAAAGAAAAACACCGUCUUAUGUAGCAACAUCAAGUUAAAGAUUUCAUGACUUCUCCUUUUCGGCCCCAAAGGGGCAUGAAUCCAUGCAAAGCUCAAUCAACCUUCCAGCCAAAAUUAGUGUAUAGGGUUACAACUCGCAACAUGAGAAGAUUAGAAUCGGCUCUUGAGUGCUUAAAAUACAAAUUACAAAAUACAAAAUCAAUAUAUACUAUACAAAGAAUCACAAAGAAUAUUAUAUGUAUAUAUGAACGUGCUUGAGACUUCAGCUGACUUUCAAUGGAACUGACACUAUCACGUGUUACAGAGACCCCAGCAAUUACAUUUGGCGUGAUAUUAAACCCUAAUACUUGCAAAUGACUAUGAUCCAAAGUGUAAUACCCGUAUAACCUGACUACCAUAACACUUGAAGGUCAGUGUAACCUAUUAUGUGCUUCAAUUAUGGAAACCUUCUCCUGCCAAAAACAAAAAACAAAAUUAAACAAAUUAGUAUUACAUCAAAAUGUCCCCCCCCCAACCCCUCCCAGAAUAUUCAACUUUAGAUUUUGCUUUGUAUGAAUGAUGAAAUAAACCGAGGAUGGAAAAUUUGUUCAUAAAAUGAUUAAUAAAUUUUCCUUCCUCGCUCUUUUCCAUCAUACCAAGUAAAGUCUCAGUUAUUGUGCAAAUGCUCAGGUUUUCAAUGCUAGAGAAUGUUUACAUCGAAAAUGGUUGCAAUGAGAUAAUUACAAAUGCAUUAAAAACAUUAUGUCCGCUGUAGCUUAGCAUGUUUCAAAAGACGCCCACUUUCCAUGUAAGGUUCAAAUUUGUUCAGAUAAAAGUCUAUAAGCUAAGGGAGAAGGUUGGUAAUUUAGAGAUUGCCAAUGAUUGCUCAUGUCUAUAUGCAAAGCUAUGUGCAUGCAUAUGUGAGAAUAAUGUAUUUCCAUGAAGAUGGAAAGAGAGACCUCAUUUGUUGAGCUGCUUUCUGAGGGAAACCAUUGCAAAAGAACCCCCAAGUUCAUGACAUAUGGUAUCAAUUUGAACAUAAGAGGUGUUGUUACCUGCAUAAGUAGUUUGCUAUUGUUAAUGUUGCAGGCUUGCAGCCAUGAAAGGGACAAAGAAAAGCAUACUAUAAACCUUCAAAGUGUAAUUUCCAGAUCAGUGAAACCUACCAGACUGAGAGCUGUCGUUCCAAGAAGAAGAAGAUACAUCUUUCCCUUCAUGUCAACCAAAAUGAAGUCAACAAUUGCAACAAAACAAUUACAAUGAUGAUGAAAACAUGCUCAAACAAAUUAAAAGCAUCAGAAAUUUCAAGCUUGAAGCAACAGGAAAAGAUAUUUAAUGCUAAGAAUUUUACGGCAAAAUGCGUUCAUAUAAAUGGAAAAUGUUGCUGAACUGUUUCAUCCAUAAUUGAAGCAACAAGAAAGUUAUCAUUCUUGUUCUUUCUGUGCGAGAACCCCCCCCCCCCUUUUUUCCUACCAACCCAAGCACACCUGCUUCAGAAAUAAAUAAUACGAGACCACAAUACUUUACAUUUGUUAACCAGCAUAUCAUUCUUUCACUGAAGACCAACAAGCACAUCAGCAAUUCAUGCACAUGAUAUCUUUCCUCCUUUUUCUAGAAUUAAGAAACAUUCUUUUGAAAACCACUGUAAGGGCAUGACAAAAUGAGAAUAAUGUUCAAAGGAUGAGGAGAUCAAUCGUCAAGAAACAAAAAACUUUAUUGUAGACAUGCAGAGAUACAAACGUUCACAUUUUAAAAAGGCAAGGAAGAAAGAGGUACCUCAACAAGGUGAAGAUUUGAGGCACGACUUAGAAGAACAAAAGCAAAUUCUCCAAUUUGAGCAAGCAACACUCCAACCUAUAUGAUAAAAGUACAAAGUGCAUAGAAUGCACAAAUUAUGUAAAGAAAACAAGACGCUAUUUGUGCAUAAGAGUGGGAAAACAAACUUACAUGGAAAGAUGUCCUAACACUAUACCCGAAAGCCUUGGCAACCACACAGACAACAGCAGUCUUAACAACAAUAACUAGUAUAACAGAGGCCAGUAGUAUAUCCACAUGGUUCCACAGAAAAUGUACAUGUAUGAGCAUCCCAAUACCAGAAAGGAAGAGUGCUGCAAAUAGGUUACGAAUUGGUUCCACCUAGAAUAGAAACACAGCUCAUAAAAUAAUCUGGCAAAACAAAGAAAUAUAUCCACUUAGCCUAUUUUAGGCUCAAAUCUCCUACAGCACACUCUCCAAUGCAUAACAAAACGUUAACCAGUACAUAAAUUCCAAUAUUAAGAAUGAACCCUUGAGCCUUGACUCAAAAUAGAAUAGACCUUGCAUUUAUAGAUUUUCAUUCAUGCCCCCAUGGACUAACAAUGCAUGACCUAAAACAGACUAAAUAAGAAUGUAAACAAGCUAAGCCUUGAAAAUUCUUAAGACACUAAUUGAAAAGUUAAAUAGAAUAAACCCCUUCAAGGCAAAGAUAAGAAUAUACACCAAAGUACAUAGGUAAGAGGCCUUGCCAAUAAUCAGUGAUUACCUGGUCUAGUGUAUGUUGCGCAAAGUCAGUAGUAGAUAUCAUAACUCCAGCAACAAAUGAACCCAACUCAAGGCUGAGACCCAUCUUAUCACUGCACUGUGAGGAUUACAGAAGUUCAAGAGUGUUAAAAAGGUCAUGGGGAAAUUUUGCAUGCAGCGAUAUAGCAGUUGUAUUGUAAUCAUUUCAAGCACAAAACUUACCCAAGCAGACAAUAAGCAGAAAGCCACAGCAGCAAGCUGAUAAAGUUCAUUUGUCUGGAUAACAAAAUGAAACCAAAUGAACUAAAAUUUUGAACUUAUUCAAAUCAAGUUACAUAAUAAAAGAGAUAAAAUAUGUUAACAACUUACUUGAGAUGAUAUCUGCAUUAUUAACUUUAGGAAUCGAGGAACAAAUGACCAAGACAAUAGUGAUGCAACAGUAAGAUAAAUUGAUAAUACCAAUAUCCUGACAUUGAUCAUCAGCAAGAGUCAGAUCCAUUUAAGUCAACCACCAACAACAGCUCAAAAGCUAAUUUUGGAAAUAAGGGCAGAAACAGAAGGAUAACAAAAAGUAAAAGAGGAUAGGUAAGGAACUUACAGCUUUCCCAUUGAAACCAUCCCGUGUAGCAAGCCACUGCUACCACCCAAAACUGGGAGCAAAGCGAAUAACAAACCAACAGCACAAUCCUGAAACGGCCAGAGGUAAGGGAAUGAAUGGAUAUGCAGCAACAAGAACAAGUUUCUGAAUCCAAAUUGUAAAUAAAUUAUAGAUACUUGAUAGGUCAUCACUUCUCUUCAACCUGAAAAAUUAGAGUCCCAAUAGUAACUUGACCAUGAAGAGAAUUAGUGCUACUUCGUUCUACUAAAAACUUCACAACCUGAUAAAAAUAUAAAGAAAGAAUGGAUGACCAUUAAGUGCAUCAAAUAGCAACCAAAAAUAAAAGAAAAAUACUCGCAACAUAAUAGAGAAUAGUAAAGUACAAUUGCUGUUGAUGACAUUGAGAGGAAGGAGCCAACAAAUACACCCUCAGAUAAAUUUGCUCCACAUAACUGCAAGAUUAAGAGAUACCUUAUUUUAGUGUCCAUCUUACAAGUGCUCUUAGUUGGAGACAUGACCAAAGUGCUAGGAAGACCUUACCACUGCAAUUAUGCCACACAAGCACAUAAAUAUAACAAUUUGAAGUAGUCCUCCAAAAACAGCAACUGGCCCCACAACUUUUAACUGCAGAAAGAAUUAGUUGAAACAGCUUUCAUUAAAUAAAAUACGGAAAUUUCUAUGCUAAAGCAUCUGAAAGUAAGAAUUCACUCCCAAAACAUCCAACCUUUGCCAAAGAAAACUCCAGCCCAAGAGCAAAAAGAAGAAAGACAACACCAAACUGUGCAACAGUUUCAACCUACGAAAAACGAAUGAGCAUAUCACCAAAAUAAUAAAAAUAUAGAAAAUCAUAUCACUGAUUGCAUUUUCUUUUCUUUCUUUAUUUUUUAUUUGUUUUGUUUUUUGCAAAAGACAUCAGAGAAUGAAUUUUAGAUGAUAUAAUUUAGGCAUUAUUAGCUGCUAUCAGCUGAAAUUUUUUUAAAUAAUAAAUGAACAGGGAAAAGUCACAUUUUUGGGAUAUAAUUCCAAGCAAGUCUCAGGAAUUUAUUAACAAAGAAAAAUAAAAUAUUUUCCAAAACAAAAUCUUUAACAUGGAUCAUAAGGCAUGUUUCCCCUCCAUGGUACCAUCAGUGAAGCUAUCUCAAUACUAGAAAAUAACGUGUACUAAAACAUUAACUCAUAUAAAACUCCAUUAUUAAGAAACAAGAAGCUCGAGCUAUUAUAAACAACAUACCUGUACCAUUUCACUAAUGAAUUUCAAACCCCCUGGUCCAAUAAGUGAACCCGCCAGAAGAUAGCCCACAAUAACCUAUCAUGUGCAUAGGUUUAGGAAAAGUAAAGAAAGACAACUUCUUUCUUGCAAAAAGACAACUUCUUUCUUGCAACUUUCGUGAUAGAGCUGCAUAUCAAACUCAAGAAAAAGAAAACAACUGUUGAACGCAAAGUAAAUAAAUGCUAAUUUUAGAUAAACAUACCGGUUGCCCCAGACAUGAAAAGAUAAUACCACCAAUGGCAGCAGAGACUAUGACAACCACCAAAUCUGAUAUCAAUCUGCACAAGGGUGAUACAGUAUGUUACAAAUAAUUUUUAUUGGAUAACAGGACAAUUUACUACACCAUAAAUCUCAGUUGUAUGUUAUAUUCAUAAUCAAAACUCAAUGGCAGCACCAGAACCAAACAGGAAUAGUUUUCAAUUGUUCAUCACAAUGCCAACCAACUUGUAGUAAUAUGGAACCGGAGACUGUAUCAGAUAGUGCAAGGAUAAAGGAGAUAAAGAUGCUAACCUCAAAUCAACUUGGAGCACUGGAUACUUGGAUUUUCUAUUUGACAUUACAAACACAUUAUCCUAACAUCAAAUGAGAAAGGCAAAUUAGAAUGGAUUCAAUUAAAAGCAAAAGCAAUCAACAUAAAACUGCAUAGUUAAUCCUGCUACACAUGAGAGAGAGAGGGGGGGCGGGGGGAGGAACUAACAUUUGACCCACCUUUUUAUCAAUCAAGGUUGUCGUCUCAUCAGAAUCUUCAUUUUCCAGGGAAAAGACAUCUUGAAUCUGGAAUGCUCUUGUACCACUGUUGAUAAUGUUGGGAAAAAAAGUCAACUCACAAAAAAAAAAUUUAUUUAUUAAAUUUUUAUUCCUCCAAAAAUAAAUGUAUUCUCAUACUUUGUCUCUUGUGUAUCAUUUCUCUUCCCCUUCUCAUGAGUGAUUUUAGCUACAGUCUCCAGUACAGCCUGAAAAACAUAUAAGGAAGCAUCCUUAAAACAGACACCAAAAGGAAAACUACACAGUAAGCACAAGGGUCACCUAGGAACAAAGGUAAUAAAGGGCACAUAAUUCCAAUAUGCAUGAUAUCCAAACCCAACCUUUCCUCAAUAAUUAUAGGAUCCUGAGUGAUCAUACACAUAACCAAGAUCACUCAGUAGAUUAUUUUAUUUAUUCCUUUAAAAUCGGAUGCCUACUAAAGUUUGGAAAAAGAUUUUGAAGAAAACAAAUGUAACAGGCUUAUAUAUCUGAGCUCAAGCCAAAACCAUAAAUCUACUAAAAAUCAAAAUGAGAAAUUGGGCCUUGGCAACAAUAUGCUCGUAAAAGAGUGAACCUACAGAGGAAACACUAUAAUCCAGUUUUCCUUAGUAUCAAAACAAUAAAAAGAAAAAAAAAAAGAAUUUCAGUCGGAGCAAUGGGCUUCAAAAGAGAGCCAAACCUACUUGCUGAUCAGCUACACUAGUAUUGAAAUUGCUUGCAUCAGUUCCUAACAAAAGAAGAAAAAAGGAAAAUAGAGUAUCAGCUAAAAGAAUUAAAGAGCCAAUAAAUUGUGCAUAAAUUAACCGCACUCCUAGAUCAUUUAGAGAUCUAAAUGAUGAUCAUAGAAGAUUCAUGUAAAAAGGGAAAUGAAGAUUCUAAUUUGCUUAAAUUUGAGUUCGAUGCCAUACAAGUCAAGCUACAAAUAUUGUGAUAUUUUUCCUUCUUGUUCAUAAUUAAAACAAAAGCAAACAAACUAGUCUUCUAGCUAUAUUGUUUUUACUUCAGUGUCCUUUUAUGUGGAACUUAUUUUAACUACUAAUAGAAUAUCUGAAUAUGUUUGCGCUUUUACUGAACGUUUAAACUUAAAAUUGAGCCUGCAGCUUUGUAAAAUAACAAGACCUCCAGCAUAAAGAUCAAGAUCCAGCAAUUCGUUUUUUUUUUAAAAAAAAAAAAAUCCCUGUGCUUUCUCGGCCUAUUAAAGGAUUCCAACAUAUAAAAAUAAUGAACAGGGAAAAAAAAGGCAAACCUUCAGUUUGAUCAUUUUCGGAGAACUCCUUCUCAAGAACCCGAUCGAACAUUUUGGCAAUACUCCCUUCGCCGGUACCCGUCACCGACGAAUUCACAAGGUUACCGUAAAACCUUUCCCGGAUUUCAUUAUCAGAUCUCGCCGAUAGACAUAUCCUCGCGUAUGAUAGCACCACCACCAAACAAUAAACGGAUCCAAGCACUCCACGUCUCGAGGAGCAAAUCGCCAUUCUGUAAAUCCCUCUCUCUCUCUUCCUUUUUUGUUGUCCUUUCUUUCAAAUUUUUUAAAGCAAAUUUGCAGGAUUAAAAAACACAAAAACAAUGCAGAAGGGGACGUUCUGGGAAUUUGAAAUCUGGAUGAAGAGAGGGAGGUUUAUAGAUGUAGGUGGGGUUCGUUAAUUGGGAUUUAACUGUCCGGCGGAGAUCAUAUUUGUGAAAAUAGCCGGGCGCGUUAAUAAUAAAAAGAUCUUACUAUUAUUACGGCGUAUUAUGUUUACUACUAGAUACGAAGAACAACGGGAAAUGUAAAUAAAUUACCGAUGAAAAAUAAAAUAAAAAAUUUUAUUAUGUAAUAAUGUAAUUACGUAAAACUAAUUCUAUCACACUUUUGAUUUAGCACGAUAGUUUUGAUUCAAUCCCUAAUAAUUUUAUUUUUAUCUUAAUUAUAAAAAAAAUUAUUACACCAUAUACAUGUGGUAAACUUAAUAAUAUAAUUUAUUUUAAAUACGAAAUAUUUAUUUCUAUAAUUUUCUUAAUUUAGUUGGUGCUCAAUUAACUUACGACAUCAUUUUAAUAAAAAUGUUUAUUAAUAAUAUAAAUUACAGAUGAGAAAUGUAAAAUAAUACAAUUAUGUAAUAAUUAUUAACACCUUCAAAAAAAUAUAAUUUAUUUUGUAAAAUAAUAGUAUUUUAGUCAUUAUCCAAUUAAGAUUAAAUUAGACCUGUCUAUAAAUUAGGUCACAGUCGAAUUUCAAAAUAGUUUCAAACUCAUACUCGUUUUUAUCCUAAUUUGCUUAAAAAUUCUGUUUUAUUGUUUAAAAUUUAAUAAAAUGUUUUUAUAUUAAUAUUUUACAUAUUUUUUAAUCAAACUUAAUUUUAUAAAUAUUUUUAUUAUUUAAAUUAAACUCGAAUCGAGUCAAUCUAGUCAAAGAGAUAAAUUUAAUAAGUUGAGCUUAUCAGUCGAGUAAGCUGUCCAAGUCCAUAGGUAACUCUAGACAUAAUAUAUAGUAUAGAUAAUUAAAUAUGAUGCGAAGAAAUAAUAUUUUUAAAAUGUAAUAUAAAAUAAAUUAUUUUAAAAAUAUAAAUAUGGGUUGUUUUUUCGAAAAGGUUAAUCAAUUUGUAUGAAAAAUGAGAUGGAACAUUCUUUUUACAAUAUGUACAUUUCAAAAGUUGGCUUCAAUUAGACUUUUAUUUCCUCGGAGAGUUAAACCUUUAUUCAACAGUAAUUUUUUGUAUGUGUAUUAUUAUUAAUAUAGGAGGAUGUAAAUUUGAGUAUAUUAAAAUAUAUUCUUCUCUUAUUUAUGAAUUAAGAAAGUGGUUAUAGAUAAUUUUAGACAUUAUGUAAAAAAAAAUGAAAGGUUUACAUUAGGAAUAUUGUGAAAAGGCAUUAUUUAUUUACAAAAUAAUUUAUUUUUAAAAAUAUUUUUCAAGAGUAUAUAUAUUUUUUUUAAUUUAUACAAUCAUUCAUGAGUAUUGAGUUUAAUAUAAAAUUUUAAACCCUAAACUUUUUCGGAAAUAAUAACUAAAUAAAAAAAGAGAAUUUCAACUGACUAGACUAACUUUGGACCUUGAUUUUCACAUGUGUCGAGUUUCACUUUUGUAUUUUUACUAUUUCUCUUACAUUUUAGUCACUAAUGAUUUAGUAUAGUUUAGGGGUAAUUUACCAAUAAAAACUUUUUUUUUUCAAAAUUUACUGAAAUGGGCCAACUAUUUAAUUAUUUACCGGAAUGGUCCAUUUUCCGCGAAAUCGCAUCCACGUCAACGCGAUGUCAGGGUACGCGUCAGGAAAUCGUGUCCACGUCAGUGCGACUUGCUGACGUGGACGGAAAUCACGCCCUAGAGGACGCGAUUUGCUGACGUGGCAUGAACAGUUUAUGUUUUUUAGCUUGAAAAACUUUGAAAUGCCAUAACUUUUGGCUCGGUUGUCCGAUUGAGACGAUUUUUUUUAUUUUGAAUAACUUUUCAAGAUCUACACGCUGAAAAACUGCUUAGAGAUGAAUAGGGACUAAAUUGUAAAGUAUAAUUUGUUAGUUACGAGUAUAGGGACUAAAGUGUAAUUAUUUCAAAAUUAGCAUGAAAUUUUUGUAUUUAAGAAUAUUUGAAUGUUAUGGAAGGAUGAAUUUGAAUUUGAAUUGAAAAACGAAGCUUAUAUUUGAAAAUAUGACUAUUUAGGUUUUAGGGACUAAAUUGAAUAAAAUGGAAAAUUUUAGAACUUCUCAAAAGUGGAAUGAGCUGACUUAUACCUAUAACAGGACGAUAUAAGACAAUUCUAUAAAAAAAUCCGGUGUUUACUUUAAAUAAAUAAGGAAAAUAAUGAUUUGAAUGUUUCAAAAUUCAAUUUUAAACCAAAAAAUCAAAAUUUAGGGGCAAAAAGGAUAUUUUUCGACAAAAACUGCGGCAAACCGCCUUCGGUUGUUUGUUAGCGCGUAGAUCUCGAAAUGUUAUUCGAAAUAAAAAAAAAUCGUCUCAAUAGGACAACCGAGCGAAAAAUUAUGACCUUUCAAAGUUUUCCAAGCUUAAAAACAUAAACUGUUCAUCCACGUCAGCAAAUCGCGCUGACGUGGACGCGAUGUCCUGACACGUACCCUGACAUCGCGUUGACAUGGACGCGAUUUCGCGGAAAAUGACCCAUUCCGGUAAAUAAAUAAAAAAUUUGUAACAGCCCGAUUUUGGGCCUAGUCGGAAUAGUGGUUUCGGGACCACAAAUCCGACGAGGGAAAAUAUGGUUAUUAUUAUAUUUUUAUGGUCUACAAUUUCACGGAAAAUUUUCGUAAAAAUUUCGUUCGAAAAUUUCGACGUUUGGGCACUCAAUUUAGUCAAAAGGACUAAAUUGUAAAUAGUGCAAAAGUUGAGUUCUAUAUGUAGAAGUAUCUAAUUGAUAUGAAAUUUUAAAUUGGAGGUCUUUAUGUGGUAAUUAGACCAUUAGUUAGUUGAUGGACAAAAAUAGACAUAAGAAAUGAGAGAAAUAGAUUUUUUUUAAGUGGGGGCAUAUUAGUCAUUUGGCAAUAAAAAAAAUAAAAUGGGAAAAAGAUGACAAAAAUCAUCAUCUUCCUCAUUAGUUGCUGCCGAAAUUUGAAGGAAGCCAUAGCUAAGGUUUCUUUGCUUUCUCAAGCUCAUAGUAAGUGCAUCCUAGCCCCGUUUUUAAUGUUCUUCGCAUUUUUGGAAUCCUCGUAACUCGGUUUAGCUUAUUCUAGCAAUAAUUCGUGUUAGGGCUCAUAUUUGGAAAAAUACCCAUAGGUGAAAUGUGUUUAUUUUGCUGUUUUAUGGUGGAAUAUGAAGCUAUAAAUUAUGUUAAACAACUUUUGCUAAGCGAUUUUAAGCGAAAGCAUAAUCGGUAAAAAUAAUUAUUGUUCAUAAGUGUAUGUUAGAGUGAGAAUUUGAUGUUGCCAUAGAAGGGAAAAAUGUUCAGCAUGUCAUAAAACCUAAGAAUAAGUGAUGAAGUUUAAUUUCCGAGCUUGGGGACAAAAGUGUAAUUAUGCAAAAGUUUGGGGGCAAAAUUGUAAUUUUUCAAAAAGUUGGGUGGUGGAUUAUUUUAAUGAAUGUGAACAUUAAAUGAGUUAAAUUUGCUAUUAUAGAUCAAGAAAGACGUGAAGAUUAUCUCAAACGAGGAAAAGAAAAGAUAGUGGAGUGAAGUGCAAAAUUACGAUAUUUUGCACCGAGGUAAGUAAACACGUGACUUGAUGUAUUAUUUUGACAUUAAUUGAUAUAUGUUGAGAUUUAUUUGGAAUUAAAAUAAAUGUUUGGCCAUAUCCUAAAAAUGUUGUUAAAUCGGGAAAGGUGGUAAAGGGUUGCAAUAUAUGAUUUAUGGGUUGAACACUCGGAAUAAGCCGAAGUAUGUUGUACAUAAAGGGGUUGCUGUGUGCUGAUUCCCCGAUUCAUUGGUGGUGCUAUGUGCGAUAUCCACCGUAUCUUUGAAAUGUGAAAGGGGGUUGCUAUGUGCUGAUUCCCCCGAGGGGUUGCUAAGUGCUGAUUCCCCAGUUCAUUGGUGGUGCUAAGUGCGAUAUCCACCGUAUCUCUGAAAUAAAAAGGGGGUUGCUAUGUGCUGAUUCCCCCAAGGGGUUGCUAAGUGCUGAUUCCCCGAUUAAGUGGUGGUGCUAAGUGCGAGAUCCACCAAUAACGGUUAACAUUCCGAGUGCUCAACGAAAAAGUGUGGAAGGUGAAUAUUGCCAUAUGGUGGAAAUUUUUAUGGGGCAAAUAUUGAGUUGGAUACUAAAUCGAUCCAUGUAUGAGAUGGGAGAAAAUAUCAAAAACGAAAAAAGGAACGAUUUAGUUAUAAACUGUGUUGAACAACAGCAGAUGGGUAACUUUGAAAAAUCACCAUAAAUGGUGGAAAAUGAAUGGGAAGCUGAAUAAUAUAUGAAAUUGAAGCUGAAUGUGUCUAUUUUCAUAUGAAAUAAAUAGAAUAAGCAAAAGAGUUGUAUUUUUGGAGAUAUCUGAAUUUUACUGAAACAGGGCUGGAUUGAUUUCGGGAUCCCCUGUUCUAACUUUGGAAAAUCACCAAAAAUUGUACAAAAAUAAUUAUGGUGUGAAAUUUAUAUUCCUGGAUUCCUUAUUGACUCUAUUUUUAAUAGAAACAAGCGAAACCAUUUUUAAAAUUUUGUACAGAGAGUUAAGUGAAUUUUUUUGAGGAAGGGUCAGAACCAUUGGGCAGUGAAACAGGGGAAGUUUUAAUGAAUAAACUGUACUAAUUGACUGGGUAAAAAAUUCUGAAAUUUUUAUGGUGAAAUGGUAUAUGAGUAUAGUUUCAGGGAAAAUUUACGAAACUCAAUUUGGAGCCCUGUAGCUCCGGAUAAAAAUAAAUUAGCGACUAUGAUGCAGAAAAACAGUUUGCUGGAAAUUGCCUAAACAAUGAAGUUAUUCAUGAAUAAGUUUAUAUUUUGGUGUAGUUAUGUGAGUAAUUACUUAUUUAUCAUGUGUUUACUUACUAAGCUAUAUGCUUACUCGAUUUUAUUUUUCCCUUGAUUAUAGUGACUUCCGACAACUCGGAAAUUUGGAACGAAGUCAGACAAUCAUCCACACUAUCCUUCACACUUGGGGUAUUUUGCUACUAUCGUUCCGGAAAAUUAUGGCAUGUAUAGACGACCUAUGAAAUAUGGAAUCAUCAUGUAAAUAUAUGUUAUGGUUUGAUUUAAAAUGUGGUGUUCAUUAAUAGUUAAAUUGUGAGUAUUAUUAUAAAUGAGUUUGGUUGAUAUAUAUAUAUUGGAUUGUGAUUUAAAUUUGCAGGAGGUUUAAGCAAAAUUAAGCAGAAAUGCUGUCGAAAUUUUUUUUAAAAAAACUUAGUAAUACCUCAUACUCUGUUCCGAGCCGGAAUACGAGUAAUGAGUGUUACAAAAUCGGCCCAUUUCGAUAAAUUUUAAAAAAACGGCUUUUAUUAGUAAAUUACCCAUAGUUUAGGGCCAAAUUAGAUAUUGACUCUACAUAAUAGUGAGUUAAUGUGUCACAUUAUGACUUUGUAAACCACCAAAACAUAAUAAUUUAAUAAUAUUAAUGAUUAUUUUGUAAUUUUUUAUAGUUUGAUAAACAAAAUAAAAAAAUUUAUUAAUAGCUAAGUGACCACCCGUAUUGUUUACAUUUCUAUCUAAUAUAAUAUUAAGAAAGUAACGCAAAACUUUCCUACUUUCCUAAUGUAAUAUUAGUAUCGUUGUAAGAAUUAGAUCAAAUUAAUUAGUUUAAUCGGUUUAAUUAAAAAUUUAUUGGUUCAAUAUUUAAUCAUUAUACUUUAAUUAGAUUUUUCAAUAACGUCUUCAAACUAGUAAAAAUUGAAAAAUAAAAAAUUGAGAAAAAUAUUGAUUGAACCUAAAUUUGUUUUGGGUGGUUAAACUACACUGUUAGUCACUUAAAUGUGCAUAAAUUUUUGUUUUAAUCAUUCAACUAUGAAAAGUUACAAUAUGGUUAUUGAACUAUUUGAGAUCAUGAUUUUUUUUUAUCAUCCAACCGUUAACAUUAUAAAUAAAUAGUUAUUUUUAUUUACAUUUAUAAUAAUUAUCUUUUAUUUUUUAACUAAUUUAUAUUUUAUCGCUUAUAAUAUACGUUGUAAUUUUUGUUUAUUCAAUUGUUGUUUAAAUAAUAAUUUUAUAAAACACAAGAAUAACCCAUGCAUCGAGCGAGAAUGAAACGGAUGAAUGAUCACUAGAGUUCAAGAGUCAACAUGGCAUCUAAUCCCUUUAACCAAAAUUAAAGGAUGAAUGAUCCAAUGUGAGAAUUCAAUAACUUUAAUGGUUAUUACAUAAUUUUUAAAAAUUAAGUGAUUGAAAUCUAACUUUAAAUAAAGUUUAAGCUAUGUUGGUAUAGUUUAUUUAUGGUAAACUACAUUACGGGUAAGUUUUUGUUUAGGUUACUUUAAUUAAAAAAAGUUACAAUUUAAUUAUUCAAUUAUUUAAAAGUUUUUAUUUAAGCCAUUGGCUAUUAAAACCAAUGCUAUAUGACUUUUUCUCUAUGUACUGUCUGUACAAAUCGAAAUCUCUCUUUUCGUUUUUUUUAUAGUUCAAUUUUUUUUCAUAAAAUAGAUUUGGACGUCACGAAUUUACGAACUGAAAUUCAAAUAAUUUUUUUCUUCAAUCCCUGACACUAGCCAUUAGAUUGCCUUAGAUCUAAGUUAAAUUAUUCUAUUUGUUGAUGAGUAUUAAUUCACCGUACCGAUUAUUAAAUCAUUACUUAAAACUUAUUAGCAAAACUUAAAAAAAACUUAAUAACCUAAUAAAUUAAAUAAAAAUUUACGAAUAAUUCAAUAAUUUAAAUAAUUUUUUAAAUAAUUUAAUGAUGAAAUUAUAACUACCGUAAUUGACGCUUUAUUUAUUUACUUUUUCAUCCAUAUCGCCCUUUUGUUAUUGUCCAUGAUCCAGCCAGUCGACACUUCAGUUUUCAGCAAAUUCUCUCCGGUUCCCCUCUCAAGAAUAGUAAACAAACGUCGAAUGGCUUGACUUACUACCAUUUUCCAACCUCACCAUACUGCAGAAGGGCAAAACUUAUGUUUAAUACUCUGCGCAGUAGUUUCAUUUCACGGCCUAUUUUCAGUUCUCCGAUCCGAGAUUCGUCUUCAAUAAUCAGCCGGAACCUUGGCUCUUCGGUUUCAUCUUCUACCAGAGCUAAGUUUUCUGGCUUAUCUUCAUAUUCUUCUAUAUCACGAAGACUAGGAAUUUCUUCUAAUAACUAUACCUAUGAUCCCUUUCUUAACGGUGCCAAGAGAUUUUACUAUGUCGACUGGUACGGUGUUCAACAUUUUAGGCGACGGGGUCCGCGAAGGUGGAUCCACUGGAAUCCAAGGAAAGCGAUGAUUAUUGUCUUGGUUGGUUCAGGGGUUUUGGUCACAGUGUAUUUUGGGAAUUUAGAAACUGUUCCUUAUACAAAACGAAAACAUUUAGUGCUCUUGUCUGAAGAAACGGAGAAACAAAUGGGGGAAUCUCAGUUUGAGGAACUGAAAGCAGCUUUUAAGGGUAAGAUAUUGCCUGCAAUACACCCGGAAAGCGUGAGAGUGAUGCUGAUAGCUAAGCAUAUUAUUGAAUCGUUGCAAAGAGGGUUGAGCCAUGAUCAAAUAUGGAGUGAUUUGGAGUAUGCAUCGCCGGAGAGUUCACUUGAACAUGAGAGUGUACAUGAUACAAUGGCGGCAUUGAGUGAGAAGGAAGGCAACUUGGGGAUUAACUGGUCUCGUGAAGAUGAGAUUCUCGACGAUAAGUGGGUUCAGCGAAGUAGGAAGUCAAGCCAAGUGAAAGGAUCACAACCGACAACAUCUCAUUUGGAUGGAUUGAAUUGGGAAGUUUUGGUUGUCAACGAGCCUGUUGUUAAUGCUAUUUGUUUGCCUGGUGGGAAGAUUGUCGUGUUCAGGGGGUUGCUUGAGCAUUUGAGAACUGAUGCCGAGAUAGCAGCCAUAAUUGGACAUGAGGUAUAUAACUAUAUAUUGCUUAUAUGUGUGGGUGUGAUUGGUUGAGUGUAAAAGUGGAGGGAUGAGAGGAGGUAGUGAAAAAGUGAUAGGAAAAUAAAUUCUGACUAUGAUUGGUAGGAAAGAAAAUUGAGAGAAAAGAAAAUAGAAGGAUAAUCAAUUUUUCAUCCCAAUGCAUAAAAAUAUCCUUCUAAAAUGGAAGGAACAAAUUGGAAUGGUAAGAGAGAGAAAAUGAUAGAGAUAUGGAUGUUAGUUCAAAAUUAUAACAUUUUCAGUUUUAUUUUUGGAUGUAAAGAAAAAAAAGAGUAUAUUUCUUUCCAUUGUUCUAUCUCUUACCAAGCACACCUCCAUCUUUCUAAUUUUCUACUGUUCAAUUUUCCAUCAUUUCAAUUUUUUCCCACCAUUCCAAGCAGAGCCUUAUUGCUGUUAUCUUUUUCUUUUAUGGAUGUGGGGAUGAUGUUUGUUUGUUGUGUUUGUCUGAUUAGGUUGGACAUGCCGUGGCUCGACAUAUAGCCGAAACAAUAACAAAGGAUUUGUGGCUUGACAUCCUACAAUUGAUACUUUAUCAGUUCAUUAUGCCCGAUUUAGCCGACAAAAUGUCUGCACUCCUCUUGAGGCUCCCCUUCUCUCGGAGGUAUGUAUGUUCCUAUAGUUCUUCUGUCGAAUGUUGAUUGAAUUAUGUAGUACACAAGUAGAAAUUGGAGUUUUUCAAUAAGGAUUGAGAAAACAUCGAGUUUUCUCUAAAACUUGUUGCUAUAAUUGGAACCCCCAGAAUUCAAUACCUCUUUACCUGUCUGCCUAAAUUCUUUAAUGUAUGGUCCAGUUUAGUUCUCCCAAGGCGUAAAUGCUGCAAUUGUCAUCGGCAUCCUACUAUGCUUAAUUGCAAAGCAAAUAGAAUCUCUUUCAGAAAUGGGAUCUGAGGGUUUUACUUGUGAAUGACUUGUCUUUUGACCUCAUCAUCAUUAUCUUCUUUAUAACGUGCCAACGACUGGUGAAAGAUCAUUUCAUUCUUUCUGUUAUCUUAAACGACAGGCUACGCAAUUGGAUUUGCUGAAAUACAACUGAUCUACUCCGUCACCCCUCACCUAUGUUACUUGAAGUUUUUAUUCUUGUUCUUUUUAGAAGUAUUGCUAUCCAACACUCUGGAGUCUGGAUGAAACAUAUUUGUAUCUAGAUAAGGAGAGUAUGAUUUUCCAAAUAUAUGAAAAAAAGGAAAAAAAAAUAGUACAUCCAUGUAAGACACAUACUGAUAUUUGAUACUUGUGUGAGUCUGGAUAACAUAAAUCCCACCAAAAACACGAAUAAGCACAUAUGAGGAUUUCUUGCUUUUGUGAGGUUGUUUAUGUUUUAUUUAUUUACUCAAAAGAAUUCCCUUCUCAAAGUUUUAUUGCCUUCUAUCUUUCCUUGACCUGUAAAAUUACUCUAAUAUUCUGAAAGCAACCAUGUUUUAAACAGUCAUUCUCAGUACUUAACCCUUAUAUCAUCUCUGAUAGGAUGGAACUUGAAGCAGAUUACAUUGGGCUAUUGUUGCUAGCAUCUGCUGGCUAUGAUCCUCGAGUUGCUCCCAAAGUGUUUGAGAAGUUAGGAAAGGUUGCAGGGGAUUCAGCGAUGCAAGAUUAUCUCUCCACACAUCCAUCUGGGAGGAAAAGAGCUCAGUUGCUGGCUCAAACUCAAGUAAUGGAAGAAGCACUCGUGAUCUAUCAGGAAGUUAGUGCAGGACGUGGGGUUGAGGGUUUUCUUUAGGAUCACACAUCGCUACCAUGAUGCUACUUCCCUCGUGCAUUUGGAAGCCAGACCAGCCUCUGAAGUUUAAGAGCUCCAUUCUUCUCACUUGUAUUUAUCUUUGUCAGAAAUAUUUAUUUUUAGUAUCCUUGUCUAUUUCCCUUUUUCCCCGCUGUAAAUGAAAUUGGAAACAUGAGUGUUUUUCUAUAACGUUGUAAGCCUGUUAGACGAAUCAUGUUUUUUCCUGUUUAACAGUGCAUGCUAAAGUCAAAAGUUAAGAGGUUUGCGGUCUUAAAUCUCAGGGCACGUUGUUGCCAUGGCAUCGCUUCCUAGAGGAUCUUAACAUAAAAUCAUGGCCCAACUAGGUUUGCAGUCUUCCCCGUGUUGCUUUUGAAAAGAUGGAUCACCUUGCCGCUGAACAUGCUGAGCUCGAUAAGCACAAACAACAAACAGCGUUUAUCACCUUUUGCUAAAAUAAUGCCAAAUGCUGAAAAGUAAUAGGAUACUUGAGCGACGGGAUCUUGAUGUGACAUUAAAAUAGUUUAUAAAUGUCUUCUUUAAGAUAAAUAAUAUUAUAUUUUAAAAAUUGUGAUAAUAUUAAUAGCAUCAUCAUUUUUUUUAGAGCACGUUUGGUUCGCUGUAUUGGAUUAGAGGUGUAUUGGAUUAGAAGUGUAAUAGCAAAUCAACUGUUUGGUUGAAUGUAAUAGAAUAGAGGCGUAAUAGUAAUAUUGUGUUUGGUUGAAUGGAAUAGAUGUGUAAUAGCAUAAUGGAAAAAACUAAAAUGACUAGAAUACCUUUAGCAUAAAUUUGUUUUGGUAAAUGAUUAUUGUUAUUGUUAUUUAAAUUUUAAUAAGAUUGUUAUUAUCAAUAAUAAAUAAUUUAAUCAUGUUUAAACAUAAUUAUUAUUAAAUAUAUUUUAAUUAAAAUAUAUAAUUUAAUAAAAUUCUUAAUAAUUAGCAUAAAUUUGUUUUGGUAAAUUAUUAUUGUUAUUGUUAUUUAAAUUUUAAUAAGAUUAUUAAUAUCAAUAAUAAAUAAUUUAAUCAUAUUUAAACAUAAUUAUUAUUAAAUAUAUUAUAAUUAAAAUAUAUAAUUUAAUAAAAUUCUUAAUAAUUAAUAUUCUUAUAUGAAUUUAACUCAAAUCAUAAUAUAUGAUACUGUAAAAUAUAAAUUAACAUAAUUAUUAUUAAAUAUAUUAUAAUUAAAUAUAUAAUUUAAUAAAAUUCUUAAUAAUUAAUAUUCUUAUAUGAAUUUACUCAAAUCAUAAUAUAUGAUACUGUAAAAUAUAAAUUAACAUAAUUAUUAUUAAAUAUAUUAUAAUUAAAAUAUAUAAUUUAAUAAAAUUCUUAAUAAUUAAUAUUCUUAUAUGAAUUUACUCAAAUCAUAAUAUAUGAUACUGUAAAAUAUAAUUAACAUAAUUAUUAUUAAAUAUAUUAUAAUUAAAAUAUAUAAUUUAAUAAAAUUCUUAAUAAUUAAUAUUCUUAUAUGAAUUUACUCAAAUCAUAAUAUAUGAUACUGUAAAAUAUAAAUUAACAUAAUUAUUAUUAAAUAUAUUAUAAUUAAAAUAUAUGAUUUAAUAAAAUUUAAAAUAAUUAUAACUAAUAAAUUAUAUUUUAUGAAUUUGUAUAAUUUAAAAUAAUAAUUAUUACAUAUAAUUUAAUAAUAAUAUAUAAUUUCAUAAAAUUCUUGAUAAUAAAUUUUCUUAUAUGAAUUUAUACAAUUUAAAAUAAUUAAUAUUAAAUAUAAUUUAAUAGUGAUAUAUAAUUUCAUAAAAUUCUUAAUAAUAAAAUGUUCUUAUAUGAAUUUACUAAAAUCAAUAUAUAACUUGAAAAUUAUAUUCUGCAUAAACAUAAUUAACUUAUAUUAAGAAAAGGUUAGAUGAAAAUGAAAUUGUACAUCAUAAUCCAUAUGUUAUAUAGUUUUACAACAUCAAAAAGUUUGAACAUUGAUAUUUAAUGGUGAGAAAUAAAUCUUCUGACCCAUUCCAAUCGGGCAACAGAAGGUAAACUAAAGAAAACGAUCAUUUGAGUUGGAUGAUCGGGAAUUUUACUCAAAGCAUCAUACUGCUGAUCGUCGGUUAAACCUUCAAUUGACCAUAAGGCUGAAUAUAAAUUUGAAGCUUUCUCUUCCAUCUUUUGAUAUUCUUCUGACUUCUGCUGAACUACCACCUCAGAGGCAAUACUCCUACUGAUUUGAUCGCCAACGGCCUUGAUGUUUUCGGCCAACAAAGUGGCAGCCUCAUCAAUUGAAGAAUACACAUUAUCACGAGCAUCAGAUUUCUUCUUUCUCUUGUUUGAAGAUGAGGAACCCCCUUGGUCUCUAUCUCCUCGCGGAUCCGUACCAGAAACAUCCAUGUCGUCUAAAGAGACGUCAGCUUCGCAGUCAUAGAAUGUGUUUCUCUCUUCAUUCAUAUCUGUAGUACGUACAUCCUCAGCAUGUAUUUCUUCAAGAACAUCAGCAGCUGUUUGAGCGUCUUUCCCAGUCGCUCGAUCUCUUGCGUUUAUGGCAGUAAGCUGGUUGUAGUAAGGGAAAGAACGAUGUCUGAACUGAGCGGCUUCUUUGUGACUCUAAAAAAAAUGAGGAAAUCAUAUUAGUUAUAAGUUUUGUAAAAAAAACAAAUAAAUACUUGAAAUACAUUUUACCUUUACAUAGGAUUCCCAAACUGCAUCUUCAGCAACAACGAGCUGCCUAUGCUCGUCCCAACCAAAACCGCUGUUGUUUUGGCCAUUAAGCAUGUCAUAGACGACUGACCAUUCCCUUUUUAGGCACCUAAUCCGAGAUUCAAUAUUUGGUUUCGCCUUCAACAUUGCUCUUGGUAAAGCCUUUUCUAGCAUUUUCUCUAGCUCGUUCAAAUAAUCGGCUUUGAACCCGGUAUCAGCAUUAAAUGUUCCUACAUUGUGCAAAUCCACCAUGCAAGAAACCAAGGCUGCAUCUUCUUCUGGAACCCAUUUUCUUUUGCUUCCUCAAGAAUCUUGAGAAGAAGCAUGUGAUUGUGGAACACCUGACAUAUUUAUCUUAAGAAAAAAAAAACAAAUUAACAUUAUUUACUAUUUUGAAUAUCAUGAAUCAAAAGGUGAACAGUUUAUAAUAUUAUAUCGUUAGUUCAAUACUAAAUUUAAAUUUAUAACACAUGCUGAAUGAAAAGAUAAUUAAAUUAUAAUUCAACAAAGUUUAGUACAAUACAGAAUUUUAAUCAAACACCACCAAAGUUUCAUAAACUAGAUACAUCGAAUAACAUCAACAAAUCAAUUCAAACUCAAUUUGUCCCUAAACCUAACUAAUUUCUAGAUGCUUGCCAUUCAUCGAACAUUUGGUUGGCUAGUUCCAUCCUCAAAGUAGCCCAAGCAUCCGAUGGAUGAAUAUUUGUGAUAUUCGGUUCAUCGUCAUCCACCACAUUAGUAGGUAAUCCUUCUCCCACAUCCGCUUCAAUGAGAUCAAUACUCAUAUGAAUUCAAAUAAAAUUAUGGAGCAAACAACAUGCAAUAAUAAUUCUAUUGUGCACCAUUACAGGAUAAAACGAUGGACUCCUAAGUAUUCCCCAUCUAAGUUUUAAUAAGCCAAAGCAUCUUUCAAUAAUAUUACGUGCUGAGGCAUGUUUCAUAUUAAAAAAACUCUUGAGGAGAACUUGGCUGAUAACCCUGACGCCACUCGUUCAGAUGAUAUCGCUGUCCUCUAAAUGGUGCAAGAAAUCCCUCACAAAUUGUGUAUCCAGCAUCAACUAGAUAAUAACAACCUAUAAAAUAAUUUUUUUUAAAAAUGAUUAAUUCAGCACACAAAGUUUGAUCUUAAUGAAUAAUUCAAAUUCCUCUAACUAUACACUUUACCAUGAGGAACUUUUAGACCAUGUCUUCUACUAAUGGCAUCUCGAAGCACCCGUCCAUCGGCAACUGAACCUUCCCAACCAGGAAGAACAUAAACAAAUUGCAUCUCAGGUGUACAAACACCUAGCAUAUUUGUUGCUAUGUCACCUUUUCGCGUUCGAUAUCUAGGUUUAUCAACUGUUGGCACCCUAAUCUUGAUGUGGGUUCCAUCAAGAGCACCUAAGUAAUUCUAUAUCACAUGAUAUAAAACCUAGAGUUAGAAUACUAAUUUAAAUCUAAGUCAACUAAAUGUUGUACAAGCUGUAUAUAAAACUCAGUCUAAUACAUUAAACCAUUUCCACCUUGUGUCAGAAGAAUCGGUUGUAAUUGGCUCCGGCUUUUUAAAUAACACAUCGUGUAAGCGUAUGACAGCAUUUAAAACACUAUGAAAUGCUCUGCUAACAGUUUCCCUGGACCUUCUAAAGUAAUGCUUGAUAACUCGAUUUUUCAGGUGAUGGGAUAUGAUAUGUAAAAACAUUGCUACUUGCUCAUCAACAAGCAUGUUUCUUGACGACUUCAAUCCCCCUAUCGAUUCUAACAUCUCACAUAGUUUAAAAAAGGCAGUUCUAUUCAUCCUAACUUGUUCAAUACAAGUCUCAUCACUAGCAUAUACAAGCCUUUUCACAUAAUCCCGUUUUGCAUAAAAAUCUAAGGUAUAAGACCUAAUCCUUGGUCUAUAAGUCUGUAGGCUAAUGCUGGCACCCAUUCUAAAUAAGAACCAAAUCGCAAUUCUACAGAUUUCCAACCAUAGUGUCAAUGCAAUACCAAUUCUUUUACGCCUCUCACGUUGUGCAAUUAAAGGCAGACGGGCCAUUACUGCAACAUAUUAAAAUUGUAAGACACAAUCAAUAAAACAUCGACACUUGAAAACAAACUGAACCAUUAUUAGUGCCACUGCUAUCAAAGAAAGUAGAACCAAUUUUAUUUAUAAACAUGCUUUCGCUAAAUAGUACUUUACGAAAUUAGUUGAUUGUAUCAAUCAUACAUAUUUAUUUAUAUUUUUAUUUAAAAACAAUUUAUUAGUUUAUGAAGUUAGUUCAUUCUGGCAUGACCAUCAAAUAUUUACAUAACACUCAAAUAUUCAUUUCGUUUUAAUUAUCUUUUAAUCAAAUACAUUAAUGCGGAUUAUGAUUGUUUAAUUAAAAUACUUCUCAAAGCCCGUUUAAUGCUCUGCCUUAUGAUUAGUUUUGUGUCGUUAAAAGAAGAAAAUUUAUACCUUCAAAGAAAGAAGACAAUUUUUGUAGCACAUUAAUGCCAAAGUUUAUGCCUUUUAAAUUGAAAGAUAUUUAGCUCAUAAAUAUUGCCCAUUAAUGUUACAUUAUAUUACACAUUUUUAAGUAGUAAAUAUACAUCAACAGUUAAAAGAUAAUUAAAUUUUUAGAGUUAAAUUUAUUUACAUCAAUAAAAAAAUAUGUACAGUUAACCAAAAGGUAUUAAUAUUAUGAUUAAUUACUUUGACUAAUUUACUUAAUUUGAGAGAUAAUUAUAAAUUUGUUUAUGGAAUUUCAAGUAAAUGAAGCACACCAAACGAGGCAGUUUGUUAGUUCAAUGUCAUGGAGGAAUUCUUCACAGAAAGUUUGUAAUGAAAAAUAGUCCAAAAAUAGAAGCUAGUUCAAAUUUUAUGAAGUUAGAAAAUUUUCAGAUUGAGUAAUUUCUGUAACAAAAAAGACAAUUCCUAGAUUUUGCAGAGAACCAGGCCCUAAGCCCCCAGAAUCCCAACAAAUGUAAAAAUAAAGAACCAUAAAAACAAUAACAGAAAUGUACACCUAGAAAAUCGGAUAUAUCAAUCUAAAAUGAAAACAUUUAUUGACAUUCAAAACCAUUACAAUGUCAGAAACUAAUGCCACAUCUUAUUAUCCCACCAAGGCGCCGAUAACAAUUUUCGUUUUUAGAUAUUUAACAACCUCAUUCAAUCAACAUUUCUGAUAAAUGAUUCCAUAAUCAGAAGUUACAGCAUAAGAUAAAUAUAAAUGCCAAUUACAUAACUGGAAUGCAAAUUAUGAUCUCUUCCGGGAAAAACAAAAUGGCUACUUUAAUCUUCAUUUUUAAAAGCUUAAGCGGCCGCUAACAGCAGAAUCAAGUUAGAAGUAAAUUUCCAUUAAAAAGGUAUAUCCAAGUAACCUCCAAAGCACACCAAACGAGAGAUAAUUAUAAAUUUGUUUAUGGAAUUUGUUCACUGAAUUGAUUUUAUUUGUGUCAAGUUGACAAUGUUUUUCUACCCUGAACUGUUGUAAGGUUGAAGAGUAAUGCUGUUUUGAGUUCAUGAUAGCUUCUCUAUGCUUAUGCUCUUAUUUUUGUCAUUGAAAUUUAUCCUUAUUUAUUCAUUUUUUUGCCAUCAAUGACUAACAAAUCAAGAACAAAUCAAGUUCCAGUUUCACAUUGUACUGGCUAACAAAUCAAGAACAAUUUCCAGCAGACAAUCAAAAUAAUUUCCAGAACAAAUCAAUAACAAUAUCAAAACAAAUUGCAACAAUUUCCAGUUUCAUCUUCUACUCACUAACAAAUCAAUACAAAUCAAUAACAUUUCAAGGGAGGAUAACCAACUGUUGACCAUAUAACUAAAAUGGUCUUGCACAAUUAGCAUGUUCCAUUGGAAAAUAUUGUUCUAAACUAUGACUCUUUUGUUGCAGCAAAGCCUACCAUGUUAUGAGGUUGAGUCAAUUUUGGGCAUAUUUCAGCAAAGCCUACCAUUAUCACCACUGCCUCUAAAGGAAUGACAGUCCCUUACAUCACUGCAAUCUUUUCUAUACCAAAUUUUCUUACACCUUAAAAUAGAUAUGGUUUGAAAAAGGAGUGGAGAAAUAGUUCAAAGAAAAAUAGUUUUUUCAACUACCAUGUAUCUAAGAUAUGUCCUAAAAGAUAAAAUGAUUGCAUAACAUUAGGCAUUUCAUUCAUUAUCUUUGAGUAUUGGCAACAAUGUCCAGCAUAAAGGAAAAAGUCUCAGUUGGGUUUAAGUAGCAAAGCUCACCAAUAAGAUUCGAACGAACAACUAAUACUCAUUUUUUAUUCCCAACUAAUAUGCAUGUCAAAGACAACAUCAAUUAGAAUGAAAAAGAAUAAUGAUACAUUAAUCAUUCUUGCCAACCUAACUUAGUUUUACAGUUUUCUACAAGUUGCAUUCUACAAUAUUAAAAAACUAAUUAAUUAAUUAAUUAAAAUUAGAUCUAUAAUUCAUACCUUGCACCCAAGUAGCUUGAAUAGUGAUGCAAAAAAUGAGUAGCACCCUCAAUUGUUUUUGAAGAGUAAAUUCCUUUAACACCUAAAAGUUGAGAAAAAGAACAGCUGAUUGAAAUAUGGAAUUUUAAGUUAAUCACCUCAGGUCAGAAGAUUCAAAGAAACAUUAACCAGUCAAAAUAGAUGGAGUAAACCAACAACUGCACAAAUUAAUGUAGAGAGUGAGACUACAAAGAAUAAAACAUGAAUAAACUCAACCGUUUUUACAUGAAAUUUUAAUAUGGAAGUAUCUUACUUAGGUGGCUAACUAGAAAGUCAGAAAAGAAAACAAGAGGAAAAGAGAACAAAGGGGAGACGCCAUUUAUGGAGAUGCUCAACCUAAGUUCCAAAUUACAUAAUCACAGUUAAUGACAAACACGGAUUGAAACAUGCUAGGAAGUUUAGGCGAAAAUGAAUUCUGCAUCAGAUUGCAUGCCAAUGUCUUGUGCCCUAACAUAGAAAGAAAAAAGGGUAAAACAAUGGGGUCUCAGGCUUGUUUAUGUAAAGUUGCACAUCAAUUGAGAAAGAAGAAACAGAGAUCAGGCCCUGAAAGUGCAAUGAAGAAGACACUAACAAGACAGUCAUUAAAACUCAGUACAGAGAGAAGAAGAGAGUUAGAACAAUUACAAGAUAAUUGAGAGCAAAAGAGAGUUAGAAACCUUUACCUUUCAGUAGCAGUAACCUGGAAACCCACCAAUUGAGAGCAAUCGAAAAAGUGACACAGAGAAAAAGAAAAGAAAAAGGUCGACUGGUUGUAAAGAAAAAAAAGAAAAGGUUGAGAGACAGAGGAAGAGGCGAAGGAAUGGGGAAGCCAAUCGGGAGGCGAAGGUAGAACGAAGGUAGAACGAAGGAAGAGACGACGGAAUGGGGAAGCCAAUCGGGAGGGUAAAACAGAGAGGGUAAACGAUGCAGCACCUAAUCUGAGCAAAAGGGUUGUAUUACAAAUCGGUGGUUUUCACCGAUUAGAUCUGUAUUGUAUUACACGCGUAUUAGAAACACAUUGAACCAAACGACGGAAUAAAGAGGUAUUAGGUGAGGCCCAUCGAUUAGGGGUCCAAUACACCCAACCAAACAUAGUGUUAGUUUCUUCUGGAGCAACAAUAUUUUUUUUAGAAUAAUAAUUGUUUAGAACAAUGUUGUUGGAGGGUAAAUAUGUUUAAAAUAAUUAUGUUUACAAAAAGGCUUUAAUUAGAACAACUAUUAUAUAAUGUAUAUUCUUAUUGAGGAGGAUGAAAGUUCAAAAUAACUCUUGUUUAGAAUAAUAGCGUUUAGGAAUAAUUAGUUUUAAAAUAAUCAUUGUUUGGAGCAACUUAUAUUUAAAAUAAUUGUAUUUUUUUGGGAGGGUCAUUAUUUAGAACAAACUUUACCAAGAAAAAGAUUAUCAUAGAACAACUCUUUCGAAAUAACUUCUACAUUAAAAAUAACUAUGUUGAGAACAAUUCAUGUUUAAAACAAGUCAAAAUAACUAUUAUUUAAGAACAACUUUCUUCCAAAAACAAUUACCGUGUUUCAAAAAAUAUUUGAGAAAAAAUGUUAUAUAUAAUAUUAUUUUUUUUAAAUACAUCUUUUUCUAUUUUCCUAAAUUUCAAAAAAAAAAUUGUAUCUCACUAAUUAUUUUAUUUAAGACGGCAGAUAUGCCUAAUUUCCACUAACUAAUCUCAAUAAAUAUCCAAUCCUUGUCGUUAUGACUGACCUAUCUUUUAUUAAAUAUGCGGAAUGCCCAAUGCCCAUCAUUAUGUAUUCGUGUUGUACUUCUUUGAUGCAAAAUUCAGAUACCCAUCCGAAAAAUAUAUCAGAAAAACUCUCAAAAGAAGUAUAUCAGGACAGGCCCCAGUUCACCAUGGGAUCGCUCUUGCUUUCGUCCGCUGUUAUCUUACUUCUCAUAUUCCUUUUCGUCUCAACCCCUUUUGUUCUACUUCUGCUUGGAGCAUUGACUUCGGUUCUGGUAAUAUUUGUAGCUUUAUUCUUAUUCCUCCAUGUUCCAGAAUUAAAAUCCAAGGCCAAACGCCCUCCCAUAGCUGGUUCAAUGCUACACCAGCUCCUAUACUUCAAUACACUUUCUGAUUACCAAACAUCCCUAGCUAAGAAGCAUCGCACUUACCGACUGAUUAUGCCAUUGCACAGUGAGAUUUAUACUACUGAUCCAGCUAAUGUCGAAUAUAUACUAAAAACCAACUUCCCUAAUUAUGGAAGGGUAUAUAAAUCUUUCUUUUAGCCUUGUUUUAAUUUCUAUUAUCUUCCUUUCUAUGAGAAUGUGAAAUUUUUGGUGUUGUGGAAAUACAGGGUGCCCAUAUUGAGAUAAUGAGAGAUCUGUUUGGUGAUGGUAUCUUUGCUGUAGAUGGAGAGAAAUGGCGUCAUCAACGGAAGCUUGCAAGCUAUGAAUUUUCAACUAGAGUGUUGAGAGAAUAUAGUACUGCUGUAUUUCGGGAUAAUGCUGCAAAAUUGGUUGCAAAAGUUUCCACUAUAGCUGUAGCUAACGGUGCUAUGGAUUUGCAGGUUAAACCCUCUAACAAGUUCGGUAUUGUGUUCGAUUACGGUUUUAUCUCCCGGUUUUGCCAAGAGUCCUAGUGGGUUUAUAUAGUAAGAAUGUUUCGGAAUGAUUAAACAGGCGAAACUGUGUGAAACUAAAGAGUUUGUAUAUGGAUGAACUUGACUCAUGACUUAUAUAUAGCAAAUUCUUCGGUUUCACACGGAUUCACACUUUGAGGCACUCCCACUCUUUGAAUCUACCAGAGCUUGGCAAAGCUGAGGCACUUAUUUAGAGAGAGUGUCCCCUUGUGUUGAUUGUGUUAAAUUUUACACCAUCUGCAGGAUUUGUUUAUGAAAUCAACUUUAGAUUCAAUCUUCAAGGUGGGUUUUGGAGUCGAGUUAAAUGCAUUAAGUGGCUCUGAUGAGUUCGCAAACCAAUUCACCAAGGCUUUCGAUGACUCCAAUUUUAUCGUGUUUCGAAGAUAUGUUGAUAUGUUUUGGAAAGUUAAAAGGUUCUUCAAUAUAGGAUUAGAAGCUGCUCUUAAGAGAAAUGUCAAAAUCAUUGAUGACUUCAUUUUCGAUUUGAUUCGGUGCAAGAGAGAGCAGAUGGAAAAUGAAAAGCUUGUGGUGAGUAAAUUCCACCAUUGAUUAAAAACUCAUGAAACUUGUGGUUCGAGUAAUUUAACUUGUGAAUUGUUUCCUAAUGAACAGAGAGAGAAGGAAGACAUACUGUCAAGGUUCUUGACGGAAAGCAAGAGAGACCCUGAAAACAUGAAUGAUCAAUACUUGAGAGAUAUAAUUCUCAACUUCAUGAUAGCGGGCAAAGAUACAUCAGCAGGAACACUCACUUGGUUCUUUUACAUGCUUCACAAACAUCCUCUUGUUCAAGACAAGGUUAUCCAUGAAAUCAGAGAUGCAACUCAAGCUAAGGAUAACAUAUGUGCCAAAGAAUUGUCGAGGUUGAUGACGGAUGAUGUGUUAGAUAGAAUGCAUUAUAUUCAUGCAGCAAUAACCGAAACUCUUCGACUUUAUCCUGCAGUUCCUACGGUAAUAUUUUCAGUAAAAGCACAUUUAGUACUUGGUGAAGGCAUAUUUGUUAUUCAUAUACAUUCAUUUGUUGUGAUUCUGAUGCAGGAUGGGAAGAUAUCAGUAGAGGAUGAUGUUCUGCCUGAUGGUUUUGAAGUAAAGAAAGGAGAGGGGAUUAGUUACAUGGCUUACGCAAUGGGAAGAAUGACAUAUAUUUGGGGAGAAGAUGCCGUUGAAUAUCGGCCGGAAAGAUGGCUUGAUGAGGAUGGUAUUUUUCGGCCGGAGAGUCCUUUUAAGUUCACCGCAUUUCAGGUAAGAGGAUACGUUGAAUUAAUACUCUCAAUUCGACUUUAAUUGAAUUGUAAUUUAUCCUAUAUGCUUAGGCUGGGCCUCGCAUCUGCCUAGGGAAGGAAUUUGCAUACAGGCAAAUGAAAAUCAUGGCUGCUGUGCUCCUUUACUUGUUCAAAUUCCGACUUGUGGAUGAGAGGAAGGAGGCUACGUAUCGAACCAUGUUCACCCUUCACAUGGCUGAUGGGCUCCAUGUAUAUGCAUUCCCCAGGACCUAACCUGGCUGUCAACUGGGAAAAUCUUUGUUGGUUUUCAUUGCUUUUCUUUGUCAAAUAUACUCUACUUUGAAGUGAACUGUCUUAAACUCCAUACGAAAUAUAUUGAUAUAACUUGUGUACUAUAGCGAAAAAAGACAAUGGCUUUAAUGAUAAAAUGACCCCUUAACUAUAGUCUAUAUCCCAGUCUUCCCCAAGCAAACCAUAAAAGUGCCAUGGAAAUCUUUAAAAAAAACGGUAAAUUAGUUUAUAUACUUUAGAUCAAAGAGUAAAUCCGUCAUUUUAAAAUUUUUUUUUAUCUCUUUGUACUGUUAAAAACUGGCUAAGUUGACAAAAUAAUCAGACGGUAAACGUGACAUGGCCAUAUACCUUAUGCCGACGUACAGAAUUAAUUUUUAACCAUAAAAAUAGAUGAAAUUUUUAAUUAAAAAAUUAAUCUACUUUUUAAUCUAACAUACAAAAAUUAAUUUAUCCAUUUUAUGAAUAAUAGGCCUCCAUGAUACUUUUACCGAAAGCAAACACAUUAAACUUAGGCUUAGCUUUUAUUGUUAGUACAUGCAUUAUAUAUUAAAACAAAAUAUAAUAUCCAAAACUUCACUACAAUUUCAGUAAACAUAGUGAGGGGCAUUCUGUAGUUGGGGAUUAAAGUUACCUCUUUCCCGAUAAGGUCUCAAAUCCGAACAUUAGGAAGCUGCUCGUAAGAACAUACCCACAUCCUCUUGGGUUCAAUUUGUGCCGUUAACAGCAGUGGGUGAAACUUAACUCUGCCUAUGGAUGACAUGAGAUAGAGAACUUGAAAUAAUUUGUUAAUAUUAUGAAAUAGAAAUGUUUGUUAAUUUGUCACUAGGUGUUUAUGUGCUAAAUUGUGGCUCAAUUUAAAACAUUUUUAGGGUCGAGUUUAGAUUUGAUUAAUAUUAAUAUAUAUUUUUAUAAUUAAAUUUAAAUAUUUUAAAUUUAUUUAAUUUGAAUUCGAAUGGCACCUCACAGAUAAAAAGUUUAUUGUUAAAAUUUGACUAAAAAAAUUGGGUUUACUGAGUUUUUUUUUUUUUGAAAUAAAAUACUGGGAUUUUAAUUAAUAAAAAAAGAAUAAAACAAAACCAAUCCACCGGACCCAAACAAAGGCCCAAAACAAAAUGAAACCACAUAAUUGAUGGUCUAAAAACAAUAAAGAAAUAACUUCCUAAAGAGCCUUUCUAAUAACUUACUGACUUCAAAUGAAAAGUAACCGCCCUAAUAGAAAUAAAAUAAAUUAAAAACCUUCCCAGUCAAAUCAACCGUCUGGAUGCCAUCAAUUCUACUAAGUAAUCAUUUCCAAUGCUCCAGAACGUUCUGACGAUAGCUAUCCCCAAUAUCUUUUACUUUCUUUUGCUAUCUGCCUUCAUUAAUUUUUUGCUUUAUCUUUUCUUCAAUCUGGUUCCCUGUGCCAAAUUCCUACCGAGGCAAGAGCAUGACCUUCCAGUUCUUCUCCCCUCAGGUAAGUGUCUUCUUCUUUCUCGAGCGCUAUCUUUGCUAAUCUAUGGGCAUAUGAGUUCUCAGAUCUGUGGAUAUAUUGAAAAAUCAAUUCUUUAAAAUCAUCUUUUUUUCUUUGAAUAUCUCUGAUGAUGGCUCCGAUCACUGAUUUAUCUGCUGAAGUUGCUUGACAUUUUUUUAUAACUGUUCUUGAAUCCCCCAAAAGACUAACCGAUUGUAAUCUAAGUGAGCUACCUAAUUUUGCACCUUCUAGGCAUGCAUAUGCUUCUGCUGCAAAAGGAGAGGGGAUAUCUCUAUGGAUAACCGUCUUCAACGCCAUUAAGUUUCCCCUCAGAUCCCAUCCUACUAAGCCUGUCGCUGAUCUGAAGGUUCUACUGUCAAACGCUGCAUCAAAAUAAAUUCUUGUUCUCGGUAUGACUUCCUGUGAUCUUUGGCUUCUGUUCAUACUUUCAUUCUUUUUCAAGAUUUUGAAACCUUCAAAUUCUGCCCAGUGUCUUUGAAUAUUUUGUGCUAACUCCCUUCCUGUUGUAUUUUUUCUCUCGUGUACCAACUGGUUUCUGGAGUACCAUAACAGCCAUAAAGCGUAACAGAAGAGCAGACACUGACCACUAUUACUUCUCUUGAAAACCCAGGUAAGCCACUCCCAUAUCUUUUGACUCCUAUUAUAACCCAUGAGAAAUCUAACUGUUGCCAAACUUCAAUUGUCGUAGGACAUUCUCGGAAGACAUGGAUACUUCCUUCAACCGCCGAGCAGCAUCGAGGACAUCUAUCAUUGGAUAUAACCCUCCUGUAUCUAAGAUUAGCAAAAUUUGGUAUAAAGUCCCAUGAUAUCCUCCAGACUGUAAAUGUAAUUUUUGAGGGCAUCUGUAAGCUCCAGAGUUUUUUGUAGAAUUCUUUUACCUCGGUCUGUAUUAAAUAAUCAUUAGGGUCUCGACUAGCAUCUUGUAAUAGUUUAUAGGCACUACGGACCGAAAAUUCUCCCGAGAGUUCCCCUUUCCACACUUGAAAAUCUUCAUGCUCAAACUCUGCUAGGGGAAUCUGCAAUAUUUUCCUAGCAACUUCCUCUUGAAAGGUAUUAUUAAUCACAUCCACUCUCCAUUUUCUACUUGAUAAAUCAAUUAGUUCCGAGACUAACUGUAAUUCACCUCUGUUUGUUCUAUUUUGUGCGUCAAGUUUAUCGACCCCCUGAAUCCAGUCAUCAUUCCAAAUGGAGAUACUAUCCCCUCUACCCACCCUCCUGCUCAUUCCUUUUUGGAGAAGACCUUUUGCAGCCCAUAUACUCUUCCAGGUAAAAGAAGGUAAAUUUCCCAACUCUGCAGAUAAGAAGUUAGAAGACGGGAAAUAUUUUUUUUUAAGAACCCUAGCUAAUAACGAAUCUGGAUAAUUAAUGAGACGCCAUCCUUGUUUUGCUAGUAAGGCGAUAUUGAACUGACCAAAAUCUCGGAAACCUAAACCUCCACAUUCUUUAAGAGACAAAGAUUUUCCCAUGUGCACCAAUGAAUUCCCUUAUUUCCCUUGCCUUUUUGCCACCAGAAUUUUGCAACAAUGCUCUCCAAUUCUUUACAUGAAGAUCUGGGAAGUAAGAAACAUGCCAUCGAAUAGGUAGGAAUAGCCUGAAGUAUGGCCUUUAUAAAAACUUCUUUACCUCCUUGAGAUAAGAACUUAAUACUCCAAUUAUCGGUACACUUCUUAAAACGAUCCUUCAGAUUUUGAAACGCUUCCUUUUUCCUUCGUCCCACCAUAUUAGGCAACCCCAAGUAUCUCUCUGGAUCAUUUGAUCUACGAACCCCCAUCAAGUUGACAACCUGACUUCUGUCCUCAUCCAGCGUGUUUUUACUAAAAAGUACUGUAGAUUUUUCAAAAUUUACGUUUUGUCCUGUGCAGCUUUUAUAUUCUUCUAGUAUGUCCUUGAAGAUAUUAGCACCUUUCCUUGUUGCCUCCCCCAAUAAUAUGCAAUCAUCAGCGAAUAAAAGAAGGGAUAUCUGUGGUCCACUCCUACUAGCCCUGACUCCUUUCAUAAUACCUCUCUUCAUUGCCGAUCUUAAUAGACUUGAUAAGCCCUCACCGCAUAAAAGAAAAAGGAACGGACUUAGUGGGACACCUUGUCUCAAACCUCUGGUUGGUGAAAAUUUAACCCCUCUAAACCCAUUGAUGAUGACUGAAUAGGAAACGGUAGAGACACAAUUCAUAAUGGCUUUUACCCAAUUAAUGUCAAAUCCCAUCUUUAUCAUAAUUUCUUCAAUGAAACUCUAUUUUUUCCCAUAAACCCCUUUUUUUCCCAGAUUCUUCAGUUUGAACUUGUGCAGUACCUCCUAAGCAAGUAAAACAUUGUCUGAUAUCAAACGUCCUGGUACAAAAACGCUUUGGGCUUCAUCAAUACAUUUCCCAAAAACAUUUCGGAGCCUAUUGGCAAUAACCUUUGCAAUAAUUUUAUAGAGAACAUUACAAAGACUGGUCGGCCAAAACUCCGACAUGUUAAAAGGACUCAACUUUGGGUAUGCCUAAAUUUACCAGUAGGAAAAGGAUUUGAUAAAGUUGGAUGCAAGAAAUUAUUAAUUAUUUGAUAUCUCCUUUAAAAGAUCUAAAAAAAAACUAAAAGAAAAGAGAGGAAAGCUUGUGAAUUGCCUACUUCUCCCAUUAUGGGAUCCUUAAUUGGGGCUAUGCCCAACACAAUUUAUUAAAGUCCAAAAAGCAAGAUUUAGGUCCUAAACCACAAUUUAUGUGGGGGUUUACCACUUCAAUAUGAUACCUGAUUUUAUUUGCAGUUAGGGAACAACUCAUAAGCACUCCUACAAAAGACCCUACAACACUUGAAAACAAUAGGUAAUAUGUUAUUAGUCCUUGUCUUUAGGUAAAAUUUGAAAUUUAGUUUCUAUACUUAAAAAACUUAAAAAUUAAGUCCUUAUACUUUUGUGAUUUAAAAAUCUCAGUCUAAUAAUUAAUAUUAUUAGUAUUUUUAAUCAAAAUUUACGAACUUGACAUGUUGAUUAGAUUACUCUCGUGUAACGUUACAUAUGAUUAGCAAAAAAAUAAACAUGUUAAUAAAUCUGACAAAAAUUACUAACAAUAAUAAUAGUCGGACUAUAAUUUUCAACUUAAAAUAGUAGGAGAGGAUUUUUAACUUCAAAAAUAUAAGAAUGGUUUGUAACAUAUGGAAAGGGAAUCUGAAAAGGUCAGGGGUUAGGCAUGAUGAGAGAGGGAGGGAGAGUAAUACAAGGGAACAUAUAAACAAUUCAGCAAUAUAUCAGCCUCGAGUGCACUCUUUCAAGGUGCUUAAUUAUAUAUUUUAAUGGAUCAUCAAUUGAACUCAGCUAUUAUAUUUAUAUUUCAUCACGUGAAUAAUAAAUUUUAGAGGUGGACGUAGGUGUAAAAGAGAUGUAUGAGACAAAGAAGGACUACAACUACUACUAUUAAAAUUGAUUUAAUAUAAAAUGUAAUAUAUUUUAUAAAAUAAUAUAGAAUAUAAUAUAUGAGUUUUGGUUUGAUAUAUAUGUUAUAAUAAUAUUGUGAUUUUGAAUUUUUAACAGGUUUAAUUUAUGUUUAUCAUAAACAACAAUUAUAUUUGUUGGAUUUAUUUGUUCUUUUAAAAUAGGUUACACGAUCAAAUAGUCAUCUAAUUAUAAAAAAAAUAUUUUAAACACUCAAAAUAAAUAAACAAAAAAUUACAAUUUAAACAUCUACAUUACACGUGUAUAUAUAAAAUCUUCAGGAAAAUAUUACCUUGGAAGCUUGGAGCAACGAAGAUUCUGAGGUAAAUUAAGGUAGAAUAUUAUUGGAUGCUAUCCAUUGCAAAACCAGAUUACUCCAAAGAUGCUACUUAUACUGCAAAAUAUGCAUAUUCCACAAUGUUGCUGCAAAUGUUUUCCCUUUCAAUUUGGGGGUGAGGGGAGGGAGGGGGACGGGGAAGAUGGUGGAGGAGGUCCAGUACGGGAGGGGGAGAGGGGCGGGUGGACUAAAUUUGUUAUUAUAUUGAAUUUUUAAGUGCAAUGUUAACAUGUUGUUUGUAAUUUUAACGGGAGUGAUUAAAAUGACUGAAUUAUGUAACGAUGGUUUUUAAAUUGCAAAUUUUUUAUUUUGGCUGCCUAAAAUGAUUUAAGCAUUUAAGUUUACCCCUUAAAAUACAAUUGCAUCAAAAUCAAAUUUUCAAAUGAAAAAAAUCAGAGUUUCAUAAGUAUAAUUUUAAUAAAUCAAAGUUCACGUAAAUCAAAAUUUAUAUGUAACUUUGAUAUUUAUCCCUAAAAAUGUAAUUAUUAUAUUUAUAUUUGGUCUAAUUAUGCUUUCAAUCCCUAUACUCCUUGCACAUAUGAAAUUUAGUCCCUCUAUAUUAAAUCUGGGAAAUUUAGUUCCUCUAGUCUUUUGAUUUAAUAAUUGAAGUCGAAUUGAUAUCUAGAGAUUAAAACAAAAUCUAUAACUGACGGAUUUUUACUCGACUUGAUUUUAUAAAGUUGAAUUCCUCCAACAAGUGGACAACGGAUGAGAUAAGUUUUCUUUACCUCAAGGCCCAAUAAUGAGGUGAAAAACAAAGUUGAUCAAGACAAGAUUGAAUGGGGCUAUACAAAACUUCGUUACAAAGGCCUUAGCAGUGCACAUGAGGCAAAAACAAAAUCAAUAUAUACUUUCUUGUUAUCAAGAAAAUCAAGAAACCGAAUUUUAGUUCAAUUUUUUUGUUUUGAGUGAUUUUAAGAAUUAAGAAAAUCAUGAUUUCAAAUCUUGUAAUUCUUGAUCCAAGAAACCAAAUUUCGAAGCUGGUGCAUGAUGGAUUAAAUUUAUGAGUUUGAACGAGCCAAUUCUUACACAAAAUAGUCUUAUUUUGGUUUAAAAUUUUAUCUGAACAAAUUGUUUAUUCUUUUUUUACUUCAGAUUUAGUUGGAGGCUUGUUUAGGGUUUAAGAACGAUUUCUUUCCUUCCAAGAAACUCUAUUCUAAUCUUUCAUAGACUUUCUCCUAGUUGCUUCUCUCUUUCUUUGCUGUUUGGUUUUCUUUCUUAAUCUAAUAUGUUUUGUUUCUUUUGUUUAGAUAUAAAUUCAGUAGCUUCUUCUCAAUAAAAAAAUGAACCAAAACACCUCCAAAUACUUGGAUCUUCAUUGUUCUUGGCUGGCCAAAUCACUCCUCCUCCUUUUCUUUUGAUUUCAUUCGGUUUUAGUACCUAAUCUUUCAAAUCUGUUCUUAAUCAAUUGUUCUCCCUUCUUGGCAGCUUGACUUCACUUGGAUUUCUUCAAGAACAGCCCUAACUUUUGAUUCGGCUUACUUGUUCUUAUUUUUUCAAUUAUUUUAUUUUGUUUGUUGCGCUUUUAUGUAAUUAGAUCUAAUUUGGAUUGUUUAUAUUCCAAGUUUAGUUGAACUCUAAAUUUUGCGAUUUGAACAAACUUUCGA